This is a long non-coding RNA of Zingiber officinale, 753 nucleotides long. RefSeq lists it as uncharacterized. The record is from RefSeq and is a predicted model, not a curated record. NCBI's taxonomy places the organism in Eukaryota, Viridiplantae, Streptophyta, Magnoliopsida, Zingiberales, Zingiberaceae. The transcript has 4 exons.
UUGGUGCCAAUAUUGAAUAGGCUGAACAACAGGAUAUUUUUUGGGAAGUGAUGUCUGAUGUUUGCAAAUAUAAAUUGCAGUAUGUCACUCCAGAAAAAAUUGCAAACUAUGGUGACAUCCAAGGUAGGGAAAUGCUAUGCAUUUACGGGCUCUGAAGCACUGAAGGAGUUGUUCCUUUUGAGAAAAAAAAGAUUUGGGAUGAGAUGUGGAUGAAUUUGAAGUUUUUGAACGAAUGCAUAAAAGAAAGCAAGGUACUGGAGAGUUUGUGGAUAACAAAUCGGCUCGAGUUAGUGAACAAUAUAAAGAGAGACAAAAUGUUGAUGAUCAGUCUACUCAGUCUUCAUUCAAUCUCAAGUCAUGGUGAUGUAGUGGGCGACUUAUGCAAGGGGAGGGUGUACGGAUUUGGAUGCAAUCAACACUUUAGAAGAUCAUACAAUAGAAGUUCCAAUGAAAUGUGUUCCCAUGAGAAGAACAAGGAAUUAUUUCAAGAAAUUGAAGACGUGCGUGUUACUAGCAAGAGGAUGGAGGAAGCAAUUACUAAAAGCAAAAAUAAAUUGGAACUUGUUAUCAAAGAAAAUAGAUAGAUGGAAGAACAACUUAUCCAGGAAGGUAGGCAAAGAGAAAAAAGUCUAAAGGAGAUGGUUCGAAAAAUGAUUCAAGAGGUGAGAUAUACAAAUCAUUUAUAUCUAAGAGGAUCUGGUCCCCGUGAGUGUUGUGAUAAGUGAAAUAAAGAUUAAAUUACUUUAUCUUUGA